Non-coding RNA from Podarcis lilfordi (Lilford's wall lizard), 69 nucleotides. The record is from the annotation of a GenBank genome assembly. NCBI's taxonomy places the organism in Eukaryota, Metazoa, Chordata, Lepidosauria, Squamata, Lacertidae.
GGAUAGCUCAGUUGGAAGAGCAUGAGACUCAUGAUCUCAGGGACGUGGGUUUGAGCGCCAUGUUGGGCA